GCAUUGCUGUGAUUAAUUAUGAAUUUUCGCAUGUCAGACUUCAGAGAUGCCUCUGGCUUCAAUGAGAAGUCAUAUCAUAUGACUCAGCAAUUA
This is a non-coding RNA of Triticum urartu, 93 nucleotides long. NCBI's taxonomy places the organism in Eukaryota, Viridiplantae, Streptophyta, Magnoliopsida, Poales, Poaceae. The record is from Rfam.